GAUGAAGAACGUAGCGAAAUGCGAUACUUGGUGUGAAUUGCAGAAUCCCGUGAACCAUCGAGUCUUUGAACGCAAGUUGCGCCCGAAGCCAUUAGGCCGAGGGCACGCCUGCCUGGGUGUCACACACCGUUACCCUCGCGCCAACGUCCAUCGUUGGCCGCGGCGCGGGGCGUGCGCUGACCUCCCGCGAGCGGGGUCUCGUGGUUGGUUGAAAAUCGAGUUCGCGGUCGAGGGUGCCGUGAUGAAAUGGUGGAUGGGCGACGCCCGAGGCCAAUCACGCGCGACUCCGUCCGGCUCGGACUCCUGGACCCCUUCGGCGUCUCCGGACGCUCUUUGGCGAGACCUCAGGUCAGGCGGGGCUACCCGCUGAGUUUAAGCAUAUCAUAAGCGGAGGA
Molecule: unclassified non-coding RNA, 395 nt
Filed under: soil metagenome
Description: partial contains 5.8S ribosomal RNA, internal transcribed spacer 2, and large subunit ribosomal RNA
Rfam family: 5.8S ribosomal RNA (bases 1-122)
Source: RNAcentral